UGUGGCCUUGAGCCGUGGCUUUCGGAGCUAACGCGUUAAGUAGACCGCCUGGGGAGUACGGUCGCAAGAUUAAAACUCAAAUGAAUUGACGGGGGCCCGCACAAGCGGUGGAGCAUGUGGUUUAAUUCGAUGCAACGCGAAGAACCUUACCUACUCUUGACAUCCAGAGAACUUUUCAGAGAUGAAUUGGUGCCUUCGGGAACUCUGAGACAGGUGCUGCAUGGCUGUCGUCAGCUCGUGUUGUGAAAUGUUGGGUUAAGUCCCGCAACGAGCGCAACCCUUAUCCUUGUUUGCCAGCGAGUAAUGUCGGGAACUCCAGGGAGACUGCCGGUGAUAAACCGGAGGAAGGUGGGGACGACGUCAAGUCAUCAUGGCCCUUACGAGUAGGGCUACACACGUGCUACAAUGGCGCAUACAGAGGGCGGCCAACUUGCGAAAGUGAGCGAAUCCCAAAAAGUGCGUCGUAGUCCGGAUUGGAGUCUGCAACUCGACUCCAUGAAGUCGGAAUCGCUAGUAAUCGUGGAUCAGAAUGCCACGGUGAAUACGUUCCCGGGCCUUGUACACACCGCCCGUCACACCAUGGGAGUGGGCUGCAAAAGAAGUAGGUAGUUUAACCUUCGGGGGGACGCUUACCACUUUGUGGUUCAUGACUGGGGUGAAGUCGAA
Molecule: ribosomal RNA, 666 nt
Filed under: Vibrio sp. E10(2011)
Lineage: Bacteria; Pseudomonadati; Pseudomonadota; Gammaproteobacteria; Vibrionales; Vibrionaceae
Description: bacterial SSU rRNA
Rfam family: Bacterial small subunit ribosomal RNA
Source: RNAcentral